CGCAGCCGCGGUAAUUCCAGCUCCAAUAGCGUAUAUUAAAGUUGCUGCAGUUAAAAAGCUCGUAGUUGAAUUUCGGGACUAAUAUGUCGGUCGUGCCUCGGUACGUACUGGUUUAUUGGUUUCUCCUUUCUGAAGAACCAUGAUGUCAUUUAUUUGGUGUCGUGGGGAAUCAGGACUGUUACUUUGAAAAAUUAGAGUGUUUAAAGCAGGCUAACGCUUGAAUACAUUAGCAUGGAAUAAUGAAAUAGGACGUUUGAUCCUAUUUUGUUGGUUUCUAGGAUCGACGUAAUGAUUAAUAGGGAUAGUUGGGGGCAUUAGUAUUCAAUUGUCAGAGGUGAAAUUCUUGGAUUUAUUGAAGACUAACUACUGCGAAAGCAUUUGCCAAGGAUGUUUUCAUUAAUCAAGAACGAAAGUUAGGGGAUCGAAGACGAUCAGAUACCGUCGUAGUCUUAACCAUAAACUAUGCCGACUAGGGAUCGGAUGAUGUUUAAUUUUUAAUGACUCAUUCGGCGCCUUACGG
This 520-nucleotide ribosomal RNA is filed under the name uncultured Glomus. Its description in RNAcentral is "SSU rRNA". It matches the Rfam family "Eukaryotic small subunit ribosomal RNA", at positions 569 to 1093 of the family's 1831-position model. Lineage: Eukaryota; Fungi; Glomeromycota; Glomeromycetes; Glomerales; Glomeraceae. The record is from RNAcentral.